UCUUAUGCAAGUCCUGUGCACAAGGUAAC
RNAcentral lists this non-coding RNA (29 nucleotides) under Mus musculus (house mouse). RNAcentral also lists the same sequence under 1 other name. Lineage: Eukaryota; Metazoa; Chordata; Mammalia; Rodentia; Muridae. The record is from RNAcentral.